Molecule: ribosomal RNA, 260 nt
Filed under: uncultured archaeon
Lineage: Archaea
Description: partial 16S ribosomal RNA
Rfam family: Archaeal small subunit ribosomal RNA
Source: RNAcentral
CAGCCGUAAACUAUGCGCGUUAGGUGUAUCGGUGACCACGAGUUACCGAGGUGCCGAAGGGAAACCGUGAAACGUGCCGCCUGGGAAGUACGGUCGCAAGGCUGAAACUUAAAGGAAUUGGCGGGGGAGCACAACAACGGGUGGAGCCUGCGGUUUAAUUGGACUCAACGCCGGACAACUCACCGGGACGACAGCAAUAUGUAGGCCAGGCUGAAGACUCUGCAUGACUAGCUGAGAGGAGGUGCAUGGCGUAGACGUCU